AAGUCGUAACAAGGUCUCCGUAGGUGAACCUGCGGAGGGAUCAUUACAGAGUUCAUGCCCUAACGGGUAGAUCUCCCACCCUAUGUUAUCAUUACCAUGUUGCUUUGGCGGGCCGUCGGGCUCACGCUCGGCUACCGGCUCCGGCUGGUAAGCGCCCGCCAGAGCGCACCCAUCAAUCAUUACUGUCGUCGUCGUCUGAGUCACAUAUAAUAGUUAAAA
This 219-nucleotide unclassified non-coding RNA is filed under the name plant metagenome. Its description in RNAcentral is "partial contains small subunit ribosomal RNA and internal transcribed spacer 1". The stretch from base 1 to 46 matches the Rfam family "Eukaryotic small subunit ribosomal RNA", at positions 1786 to 1831 of the family's 1831-position model. The record is from RNAcentral.